AUGCCAUGCAGAGACCCUUACAAGCUUCACGGGUUGGCCUGUGAAAAACUCAUGAACUUCAAAAAGGCCAAGUGCAAGGUCCGUCAUCUGCUCUGGGGCAAUCCGAAGCACACAUACAGGCUGGGCAGAGAAUGGAUUGAGAGCAGCCCUGAGGAGAAGGACUUGAGGGUGCGGGUGGACAAGAAGCUUGACACGAGCUGGCAAUGUGCUUUUCAGCCCAGAAAGCCAACCGCAUGUUGGUCUACCUUAAAAGCAGUGUGGCCAGCAGGGCGUGGGAGGAGCCACCAGCGUCCCCUGCUGUGCAGACACUCAGCACGAGAUCGUCUGGGCACAGAGCUGCCUGGCCCAACCAGGCCGCAGCUGUCCCACGCCUCAGCUCUGCCGCAGGGAAACCCCUGGGGCAGGGAAACCUGGGCCUGGGGCGUGGGCGCUCAGGGCCAGGCCUCGUGCCCUGCUGCCGUGCCCCACCGCCUGGCACUCUCAGCGCCGUGCCAGCCCUCUUCCUCCCUCCCUGUCCCGCGGCACUCCUACGCACUUGGCAGCCCUUUGUUGGGCUGGGAGUGGGCCUUUCCCUCCUGCUCCUUCCUUGGGCAUCUCUCUGUCCUCUCAUGGAGACAAAGAUACAGGCACCCAGGGCAGCUGCUGCCUCCUGACGGCGCUGCGCUCCUGGGAGUGGGCACCACGGGGGCUCGGGCCCCACAAGGCACACCGCUACCAUGGGGACACCCCCCCCGUCACAGUGGCCUUGCGGCCCUGCGCCGCCCAGUGUCAGUACCCAUAUGCAUCCCAGUUGAUGUUGACCGGGCCUUGCAAUAUCGAUGGUAUUCCCUGGGCAUUUGUGGAGGAGUCAGGCACGGCAGCAGGCAAGGGAGAAGGAAACGAGCAAGAGGACACAGCCAAGGGAGUGAUGUGCUGGGGAAGAAGAGAAGCUGCCCAUGCACAGCAUCACAGAAUCCAUCAACUUAAGCUGGUUGUGAAACUCCACUGUAAAGAGAUCCAGUCCAGGGCCACUGUCACCUUCUCUACUCUCAUCCAUCCCUGCUGCUAGAAGACAUCAAAGUACCAACCUGCUUGCCUUGACUUUGGUUGACCUUGCAGAAAACCAGCAUGUCAGGUAGCACCCAUGAAUGUGGAGUCAGCUGCAUUAUGCCCUUUCUGAUAUGGGAAACAGUGACCUGCAGUAUCCUGCAGCUGGAACAGUAACCUGCAACUGUGUCCUGGUUUUGGUUUUGUUCAGCUUCUUCACAGGUGCUGCUAUGAUGCCAUGUUUUGGAUUUAGGAGAAAAAUAAUGCUGAUAGCAUAUUGAUGUUUUAGUUGUUGCAGAGCAGUGCUUACACUAAGUCAAGGACUUUUCAGCUUCUCACACCACCCUGCCAGGUACUCACCUACACCACCUACCCAGUGGCAGGCUGAGGCUGCACAAGAAGCAGUGAGGGGACAGAACCAGGACAACUUACCCAGACUGGACAACGGGAUAUUUCAUAUCAUAUGACAUCAUGCUGAGCAAUUAAUAUGGGAGCAGUUAGCCAAAGACAUGGCUGCUGCUUAGGGACUGGCUGAGCAUCAGUCAGCAAGUGGCAAGAAAUUGCAUUGUGCAUCACUUCUUUUGUAUAU
This is a long non-coding RNA of Anser brachyrhynchus (Pink-footed goose), 1615 nucleotides long. The record is from Ensembl. NCBI's taxonomy places the organism in Eukaryota, Metazoa, Chordata, Aves, Anseriformes, Anatidae.